RNAcentral lists this ribosomal RNA (487 nucleotides) under uncultured bacterium. RNAcentral describes it as "bacterial SSU rRNA". It matches the Rfam family "Bacterial small subunit ribosomal RNA", at positions 501 to 987 of the family's 1533-position model. The record is from RNAcentral.
CUACGUGCCAGCAGCCGCGGUAAUACGUAGGGUGCGAGCGUUAAUCGGAAUUACUGGGCGUAAAGCGAGCGCAGACGGUUACUUAAGCAGGAUGUGAAAUCCCCGGGCUCAACCUGGGAACUGCGUUCUGAACUGGGUAACUAGAGUGUGUCAGAGGGAGGUAGAAUUCCACGUGUAGCAGUGAAAUGCGUAGAGAUGUGGAGGAAUACCGAUGGCGAAGGCAGCCUCCUGGGAUAACACUGACGUUCAUGCCCGAAAGCGUGGGUAGCAAACAGGAUUAGAUACCCUGGUAGUCCACGCCCUAAACGAUGUCGAUUAGCUGUUGGGCAGCUUGACUGCUUAGUAGCGAAGCUAACGCGUGAAAUCGACCGCCUGGGGAGUACGGUCGCAAGAUUAAAACUCAAAGGAAUUGACGGGGACCCGCACAAGCGGUGGAUGAUGUGGAUUAAUUCGAUGCAACGCGAAAAACCUUACCUACGCUUGACAU